CAUCGGCACUGCCAACCGGUGGGGUGCAGCCCUGCUGAAGCCCCAGAGCUCAGCCCAGUGCUGGGCACAUAGUAGGCGCUCAGGAAAUGAUUGCUGAAUGUGGAAUGAAAGUCCCCAGCAGGCAAAAGGCUGUGACUUCUGUUAGUGGGGUGGUGGUCCUCUGGGGCGAGUGUAUGGAGAACUUCAAGGCCUCCUCCUGGCUGCCCAGGAAGUAGAGGGCGCCAAAGGCGACGUGCCGGCCGCCAGCUCCAGGCCGAGCCCCGAGCGCCUGCAGGAACACGCCCCUUCACCCGGCGCGGGACGCAGAGCUGCGAGAGAAUCUUGUUCAGCGCGGACUCAACGCCAGGGCGCCGCCUAGAGGUUGGUCUCUGUCUCGGCCUCACCCGCCGGGAGACCACAGAGCUGCUUCCCCAGCCGCCCGCCGCCAGAAAUUGGAAAAAAAAAAAAAAAAAAAAAAAAAAUCCAGCUGGGGUCUAGGAACUCGGCUUCUGGCACCUCUGAAUUCUCCGAGACUGUCUCCUCCCUCCCCGCCUGUAAUGAACCCUGUGAAGGGAGACAGGCCAGGAAGUCCCAGAAAUAUUUAUUCUUGUGACUCUCACAAAAUGGA
This 607-nucleotide long non-coding RNA is filed under the name Homo sapiens (human). Its description in RNAcentral is "HSALNT0390438". Lineage: Eukaryota; Metazoa; Chordata; Mammalia; Primates; Hominidae. The record is from RNAcentral.